Molecule: unclassified non-coding RNA, 286 nt
Filed under: Hevea brasiliensis (rubber tree)
Lineage: Eukaryota; Viridiplantae; Streptophyta; Magnoliopsida; Malpighiales; Euphorbiaceae
Source: RNAcentral
AAGAUUACAUUUUUCUGGGGGGGUUAACAAGGCACGAGUAAAAUGUCUAACGAAGAAGGCAAGCGCAAACAAUAAUCUCGUUAAUCAUCAACUCUAUCCUCAACUUCAUUGACUUCCUCUUCAGCUUGUGCAUCUUCAUUUUCGUUAUCCGAGGGUUGUUCUUUCAUCUUACCCUUCCCAUUUUCCACAGGCUCUUUCAGCUUGGCCUUUUUGUUAGAUUCUGGGGACUUAGAUGACGUUGACUUCCUUUUAGAGUUCUUCUCUCUGAAUCCCUCAAGAGAAGCUU